This 857-nucleotide long non-coding RNA is filed under the name Nicotiana tabacum (common tobacco). RNAcentral's name for it is "long non-coding RNA (NTAB_LNC003364)". Lineage: Eukaryota; Viridiplantae; Streptophyta; Magnoliopsida; Solanales; Solanaceae. The record is from RNAcentral.
UUGCAGAAGCAAUCCCAACAGAAAAACUCAAGAUUAUCACCAUUUUUAACGACCUCCACAAUAUUGAGCCACAAAUUAGAACUUUUGACAUGAUUUUAUUCCAUAGACAAAAAUGAACUAAUCCAAAAUAUUUCAAUGAACUCGUGUGAAACACAACAGAAGACGGAAAGGAGAUGAACAAAUUUCAAUUAUUUCAACAACAAAAGUAUAGUUUUACAGACACGUACCUAAAUUUGAAAGCAACAAAUCGAUUGAACCUAACAAAGGUCGGGUAAGCACAAAUGGAGCUCAAUCAUAGCCCAAUGACAAUCAGCAAUUAACAGUAGCAAGCAAGCCCCGAACCAGAGUAAGAAAAAUUUGAAACCUCAAUAAAUCAAUGUUCUCUUGAAUUUUAAACUGAGAACAGGGUCCAUGAACGGAGACCUUGCCGACAACCAAGCGCCGGAAAAUUUCGAAUCGAACCCAAAUACCUCGGCUACUCCAUUUCGAUUUCUUCUUAGAAAUGACUAUACCAAACAAGAUUUUUUUUUUGCUCUAAAACUCCCUCUAUUUUUGCUCUUUAUCCUCUCUUCUUUUUUCUUAAUUUUUGGCCGUGUGUGGUCCUUGAGAGGUUGGGGUAUGGCUAAUUUUGAAGAUGUCAAGCAAAAGGGAUGUCUGGUGGUGUGAGGUGAAGAAGAAGAGCGGCCGAUGGGGGUGUGUUCUUCCGGCGGCUUGGAGAUUUUUUAGAGGAGGGCGUGUGGCUCCUAUGGUUUUUCUAGGUGCUGAAAGGUGUUUGAUCUCUUAGAGGGGAAGUGGAAUGAGGGACGAUUCUGCUAGGUCUAGGGCCCUUAGGUCUGCCGCUGGCUUCUUUCCAAAAU